RNAcentral lists this ribosomal RNA (253 nucleotides) under uncultured bacterium. RNAcentral's name for it is "partial 16S ribosomal RNA". It matches the Rfam family "Bacterial small subunit ribosomal RNA", at positions 524 to 777 of the family's 1533-position model. The record is from RNAcentral.
GACGAACCGUCCAAACGUUGUUCGGAAUCACUGGGCUUAAAGGGCGCGUAGGCGGGCUGCCAAGUCCGGGGUGAAAUCCUCCCGCUUAACGGGAGAACUGCCUCGGAUACUGGAAGUCUCGAGGAGGGUAGGGGCAUGCGGAACUGUGGGUGGAGCGGUGAAAUGCGUUGAUAUCCAUAGGAACUCCGGUGGCGAAGGCGGCAUGCUGGACCCUUCUGACGCUGAGGCGCGAAAGCCAGGGGAGCAAAGCGGG